GACGAACGCUGGCGGCGUGCUUAACACAUGCGAGUCGAACGGAAAGGCCCCUUUUGGGGUACUCGAGUGGCGAACGGGUGAGUAACACGUGCGUAACCUGCCCUUGACUUCGGGAUAACUUCAGGAAACUGGGGCUAAUACCGGCUAGGAAUCCUUGCUGCAUGGUGGGGGUUGGAAAGCUUCGGCGGGUUUGGAUGGACUCACGGCUUAUCAGCUUGUUGGUGGGGUAGUGGCUUACCAAGGCUUUGACGGGUAGCCGGCCUGAGAGGGCGACCGGCCACAUUGGGACUGAGAUACGGCCCAGACUCCUACGGGAGGCAGCAGUGGGGAAUAUUGCACAAUGGGCGGAAGCCUGAUGCAGCAACGCCGCGUGCGGGAUGACGGCCUUCGGGUUGGAAACCGCUUUCAGCAGGGGCGAAGCUUGUGGUGACGGUACCUGCAGAAGAAGCACCGGCUAACUACGUG
RNAcentral lists this ribosomal RNA (465 nucleotides) under uncultured bacterium. RNAcentral's name for it is "partial 16S ribosomal RNA". It matches the Rfam family "Bacterial small subunit ribosomal RNA", at positions 28 to 507 of the family's 1533-position model. The record is from RNAcentral.